This 722-nucleotide ribosomal RNA is filed under the name uncultured bacterium. Its description in RNAcentral is "bacterial SSU rRNA". It matches the Rfam family "Bacterial small subunit ribosomal RNA", at positions 68 to 762 of the family's 1533-position model. The record is from RNAcentral.
GCUUCUUUUUCCCCGGAGCUUGCUCCACCGGAAAAAGAGGAGUGGCGAACGGGUGAGUAACACGUGGGUAACCUGCCCAUCAGAAGGGGAUAACACUUGGAAACAGGUGCUAAUACCGUAUAACAAUCGAAACCGCAUGGUUUUGAUUUGAAAGGCGCUUUCGGGUGUCGCUGAUGGAUGGACCCGCGGUGCAUUAGCUAGUUGGUGAGGUAACGGCUCACCAAGGCCACGAUGCAUAGCCGACCUGAGAGGGUGAUCGGCCACAUUGGGACUGAGACACGGCCCAAACUCCUACGGGAGGCAGCAGUAGGGAAUCUUCGGCAAUGGACGAAAGUCUGACCGAGCAACGCCGCGUGAGUGAAGAAGGUUUUCGGAUCGUAAAACUCUGUUGUUAGAGAAGAACAAGGAUGAGAGUAACUGUUCAUCCCUUGACGGUAUCUAACCAGAAAGCCACGGCUAACUACGUGCCAGCAGCCGCGGUAAUACGUAGGUGGCAAGCGUUGUCCGGAUUUAUUGGGCGUAAAGCGAGCGCAGGCGGUUUCUUAAGUCUGAUGUGAAAGCCCCCGGCUCAACCGGGGAGGGUCAUUGGAAACUGGGAGACUUGAGUGCAGAAGAGGAGAGUGGAAUUCCAUGUGUAGCGGUGAAAUGCGUAGAUAUAUGGAGGAACACCAGUGGCGAAGGCGGCUCUCUGGUCUGUAACUGACGCUGAGGCUCGAAAGCGU